Molecule: ribosomal RNA, 893 nt
Filed under: uncultured eukaryote
Lineage: Eukaryota
Description: SSU rRNA
Rfam family: Eukaryotic small subunit ribosomal RNA
Source: RNAcentral
CGCGAUUCGCCUGUGCCAGCAGCCGCGGUAAUUCCAGCUCCAAUAGCGUAUAUUAAAGUUGUUGCGGUUAAAAAGCUCGUAGUUGGAUCUCGGCGAACAGGGGGCGGUUCGUUAUUUGACGGUACUGCCCCAUUUGUUCGUAUUUUUGCAAGAGGGUUGGGGGUCCCCUUCAUUGGGUGUCUCCGGUCGCUUGCAGGUUUACUUUGAAAAAAUUAGAGUGCUCAAAGCAGGCUUACACGCUUGAAUAUUCGUGCAUGGAAUAAUAGAAUAGGAAGUCGUUUCUAUUUUGUUGGUUUUCGGAAAAUGACUUAAUGAUUAAUAGGGACAAUCGGGGGCAUUAGUAUUCAAACGACAGAGGUGAAAUUCUUGGACCGUUUGAAGACUAACUACUGCGAAAGCAUUUGCCAAGAGUGUUUUCAUUAAUCAAGAACGAAAGUUAGAGGUUCGAAGGCGAUCAGAUACCGCCCUAGUUCUAACCAUAAACGAUGCCAGCUAGCGAUCUGCGGGUGUGUAAAAACAAGACCCCGCAGGGAGCUUCCGGGAAACCAAAGCUUGUGGGUUCCGGGGGAAGUAUGGUUGCAAAGCUGAAACUUAAAGGAAUUGACGGAAGGGCACCACCAGGAGUGGAGCCUGCGGCUUAAUUUGACUCAACACGGGAAAUCUCACCAGGCCCGGACACCGGAAGGAUUGACAGAUUGAGAGCUCUUUCUCGAUUCGGUGGGUGGUGGUGCAUGGCCGUUCUUAGUUGGUGGAGUGAUUUGUCUGGUUAAUUCCGAUAACGAACGAGACUCUGUCCUGCUAAAUAGUAAGCUGAUUACUUUGUCAGCUUGUCUUCUUAGAGGGACUGGCGGAUUUAAACCGCACGAGAUUGAGCAAUAACAGGUCUGUGAUGC